UAGUGCUGUUGUUAGAUGUGGCGCAAGUGUGGCUCUGGAUCUGUGAGAUCAUCACUGGGUGUUAGUGUAGUAGAGUAGGGUUAUGGAACUUAACUUUGUUUAGGAGUAUUGCGUUCCCGCUUGUAUUUUGUAAAGACCUUUGCAGUCUUGUUGUAAUCGUGAGAAGUAUGGCGGCGCGAAGAUAAACUAACAGAAACCGACUGACCUACUAUGGGAAAUGACCUGAAUAUCAUGUCGGAUUCGAAAUGUGGGCACUGGUACUUUUAAGCAUGUGUACUUCUCAUGCCUCUGAUUCUGUUUUUCAUCUGAGAUCGAAGCAGUUACUCCUGGGCCAAUACUGCAUUGUCAUUUCUCAACAAGCAGAUGCUGAAGUGUGGAGUUGGCAGUGCACACAGUAUUUUUUAUUUAUUUUUGACAGUGCACACAGUAGCAAUUUUCCUAACAAGCAGAGACCAUGUGAUCUGGGGACUGGUAGUAGCCAUCGGCAUCGAAGCAACUAGACUGAUAGAAACUGCCUGAUUUCUGGAGAAAUGCUUCAAAUGAAACUUAUGUUUAUGUAUGUUUUGCAACGUGCGUAUGAGUACCAGUAAAACAUAAAGGGGAGCGAAAAUAGCUGACUCCCUAAAGCACGGCUCUUUACAAAUUCAGUUCAGGCUUGUGGCCUUGUGGGGGUUUCAAGCAUCGCAGACCCUGCAACUUUUGCGCUGAAACAUGGAGACUGGAGAAGAGUAGUGCAUCACCAUUUCCUGGUUUCACUGCAAGUCAAGACCAAAUCCUUGUUUUGGAAUGGGCGUUCCUGUGAAAUCUCUGGUUGCCAAUAAAGUUGGUUCAUAUAGGACAUGCAUAUUGUGGGCGUUCCUGUGAAAUCUCUGGUUGCCAAUAAAGUUGGUUCAUAUAGGAUGCAUAUUGUGACGUGUAAGGGCAUCUCCAACGUCGACUCUCAAACCGCCUGCAUACGUUCGGAUAUCGGUCUGCCGAGCGGUCCGGACCCACUUUUCCGCAAACGGGAGGCUUUGCGGGAGUCUAGACAUUCAUUUGCCCAGUGGAAAGCCACCACGCGCCCUCGUCCGUGCAUGAUGGCGGAAGGCCGAUGCUAUUUGGCAGAAUGGGAAAACUUGAUUAUUAACUGAUCAGCACGACGUUUUGGCCGAAGGCUUCAAGCUAGCUAGUUUGAUUUGGCGGAAGGCACAUUGUGCGAGCGGUAAACGUCUUGCCCUUGUCGAGGGCGACGUGUUCACGUUAUAUAGCAGGGGAGCCAAAACCCUAGAUGGCUUACAUGCGGUUUGAGAGAGAGAUAAGAGAGAAUCUAGGAUACAUCUUGUGAGAGAAGAAAGGAGGAGAUGGUUACAAGAAUAUCUCAAUACAAACUACCUCCUAGCCUUAUCUCUAAUAUGCCUGGCCUUAUCUCUAAUAUGCCGCAUAUGAUGGUGUUUAACACCCCCCCCCCCCCAAUCACAACUUCAUCAGGUUGAGAUUAUGCUUAAACUCUUCAAAGCUUCUGAUAGGCAAGGCUUUAGUAAACCCAUCUGCAACUUGAUCUCUAUAGUGAAUGAACCGAAUAUCAAGCUGUUUCCAUGCAACUCUUUCUCUGACAAAAUGAAAGUCUAUCUCUAUGUGCCUUGUUCUGGCAUGAAAGACUGGAUUUGCAGAUAAGUAGGUAGCACCAAGAUUAUCACACCACAAACAUGGAGUUUGAGAACUUCGGAUACCAAGUUCCUUUAGCAUUGAUUGAACCCGUAUGAUUUCAGCUGUAUCAUUUGCUAAUGCCUUGUACUCUGCCUCUGUGCUAGACCUAGACACUGUGGCCUGUUUUCUUGCACACCAUGAAAUCAAGUUUGGUCCAAAAAAUAUUGCAAAUCCACCAGUGGAGCGCCUGUCAUCCAGACAGCCUGCCCAAUCAGAAUCAGAGAAAGCACUAACAAGAGUUGAGGAUGACUUGCUGAAGUUAAGACCAAUGCUCAAAGUAUGUUUGACAUAUCUAACAAUGCGUUUUGCAGCAGUCCAAUGCACAGUGGUAGGAGCAUGCAGAAACUAACAUACCUUGUUGACAGCAAAAGAGAUAUCAGGCCUUGUUAGAGUCAAGUACUGUAGUGCACCUACCAAACUCCUGUACUUUGUACUAUCCUCUUGAUUCAAAAGUUGCCCUUCUGUGAGAGAUAGCUUUUCUGAGCUAGAUAAUGGAGUGAAGGAAGGUUUACAACCUUGCAGGCCUGCCUUUCUUACCAAAUCGGUUGCAUACUUCUCUUGAGAGAGAUGAAGUCCAUCUUUGUGUUUCUUCACCUCAAUCCCAAGGAAAAAAUGGAAAUCUCCAAGAUCCUUGAGAGCAAAUUCUGCACUUAAAUCCUUCAACAAUGAUGCAAUGGCCUCACUAGAUGAGCUUGUAACAAUAAUAUCAUCAACAUAGAUGAGAACAAAUAUGCAUGUAUUGAGCUUAUUGUAAAUAAACAGUGAGGUAUCUGACUUGGAAGGGACAAAACCAAGUGAUUGCAUCUUAUGACUAAGACGGGAAUACCACGCCCUUGGGGCCUGCUUCAAGCCAUAGAGUGCUUUAUCAAGUUUGCACACAAACGAGGAAUUAGACUUGCUCUCAAACCUAGGAGGCUGUUUCAUAUACACCUCUUCUUCCAGAACACCAUGAAGAAACGCGUUCUGUACAUCUAGCUGUCUGGGACUCCAUCCUCUAGAAACAGCAAUAGACAGAACAAGGCAAAUGGUGGCAGAUUUUACAACUGGACUAAAUGUAUCCUCAUAAUCAAUACCAUAUCUCUGUUUAAAACCUUUGGCAACAAGCCUAGCCUUGUAUCUAUCAAUAGUUCCAUCAAAUUUCCCUUUAACUCUGAACACCCACUUGCAAUCUAUAAGAUUUUUACCUUGCCGUGGGGGAACCAAAUGCCAUGUUUCAUUUUUCUUCAGUGCCACAUAUUCUUCCAUCAUUGCUUUUCUCCACUUUUCAUCUCCAAGUGCCUCAUCCAGAGUUCUUGGUUCAGCAUGUUCAUCUAUAGAAUAAACAAGGCCAUAUUUGCUUUGAUUUUUGUAAUUAAGGGGUUGAGUUACACCUUUUUGUAAUCGUGUGAGCUGCCUAGACUGCAUUGUUGAAUCAACCGGCAUAGAAGAUCUGGAGCCGCGCACAGGAGUCUCUGGUGCAGGCGAUCCCGAGGCAGAUUCGCCUAACACCCGCACUGGAUCCUCUGUGGCUUCAGCACGUGACGGCGAAGUUGUAUCAGCCGCAGAAGAUCCUGGCGCACUUCCUGACGCACCAGCAGGCUCAUCAUGAGCCAAUGAUUGCGCGGCGCCACGAGGAUCAGCACCGAAGCUCGCACCCUCCUGGUUGGUCGGGUCAGCGCUAGAUCCCGCGCCCGCGCCGGUCGGCCGCGCCUGGGCCCGCCGCUUGUAGCAGUGCGGUUGGUCGGGGAAGCGCAUGUCGCCCGCUCCACUGGGCCGCCGCCGCGUGGCAUCGGGCGAGCCACCAGCCUAGGGCUGGUCAACACGCGCGGCAGAUUCCUGUUGGAAAUAUGCCCUAGAGGCAAUAAUAAGUUAGUUAUUAUUAUUAUAUUUCCUUGUUCAUGGUAAUCGUUUAUUAUCCAUGCUAUAAUUGUAUUGAUAGGAAACUCAGAUACAUGUGUGGGUACAUAGACAACACCAUGUCCCUAGUAAGCCUCUAGUUGACUAGCUCGUUGAUCAAUAGAUGGUUACGGUUUCCUGACCAUGGACAUUGGAUGUCGUUGAUAACGGGAUCACAUCAUUAGGGGAAUGAUGUGAUGGAUAAGACCCAAUCCUAAGCCUAGCACAAAGAUCGUGUAGUUCGUAUGCUAAAGCUUUUCUAAUGUCAAGUAUCAUUUCCUUAGACCAUGAGAUUGUGCAACUCCCGGAUGCCGUAGGAAUGCUUUGGGUGUACCAAACGUCACAACGUAACUGGGUGGCUACAAAGGUACACUAUGGGUAUCUUCGAAAGUGUCUGUUGGGUUGGCACGAAUCGAGACUAGGAUUUGUCACUCCGUGUGAUGGAGAGGUAUCUUUGGGCCCACUCGGUAGGACAUCAUCAUAAUGUGCACAAUGUGACCAAGGGGUUGAUCACGGGAUGAUGUGUUAUGGAACGAGUAAAGAGACUUGCCCGUAACGAGAUUGAACAAGGUAUCGGGAUACCGACGAUCGAAUCUCGGGCAAUUACAAUACCGCUAGACAAAGGGAAUUGAAUACGGGAUUGAUUGAAUCCUCGACAUCGUGGCUCAUCCGAUGAGAUCAUCGUGGAACAUGUGGGAGCCAACAUGGGUAUCCAGAUCCCGCUGUUGGUUAUUGGCCGGAGAGUUGUCUCGGUCAUGUCUACGUGUCUCCCGAACCCGUAGGGUCUACACACUUAAGGUUCGAUGACGCUAGGGUUAUAGGGAAUAGAUGUACGUGGUUACCGAAUGUUGUUCAGAGUCCCGGAUGAGAUCCCGGACGUCACGAGGAGUUCCGUAAUGGUCUGGAGGUAAAGAUUUAUAUAUGGGAAGUCCUAUUUUGGUCACCGGAAAAGUUUCGGGUGCUAUCGGUAAUGUACCGGGACCACCGGGAGGGUCCCGGGGGUCCACCAAGUGGGGCCACCGGCCCCAGAGGGCAGCAUGGGCCAAGUGUGGGAGGGGACCAUCCCCAAGUGGGCUGGUGCGCCCCCCACCAGGGCCCAAGGCGCCUAGGGUUUGGGGAGGGGGCGCCUCCACCUUACUUGGGGGGCAAGUUUCCCCCUCUUCCCCCCUUGGCCGCCACCCUAGAUGGGUUUUGGGGCUGCCGCACCCCUUGGGGUGGGAACCCUAGAGGGGGUGCAGCCCCCUCCCUCUCCCCUAUCUAUAGUUGAGGUCUUUGGGGCUGCAAACACAUGAGUUUCUCCUCUCCCUGGCGCAGCCCUACCUCUCUCCCUCCUCCUCUCCCGCGGUGCUUGGCGAAGCCCUGCAGGAUUGCCACGCUCCUCCACCACCACCACGCCGUUGUGCUGCUACUGCACGGAGUCUUCCCCAACCUCUCCCUCUCUCCUUGCUGGAUCAAGGCAUGAGAGACGUCACCGAGCUGCAUGUGUGUUGAACACGGAGGUGACGUCCGUUAGGCACUAGGAUCAUCGGUGAUUUGGAUCACGACGAGUACGACUCCAUCAACCCCGUUCACUUGAACGCUUCCACUUAGCGAUCUACAAGGGUAUGUAGAUGCACUCUCCUUCCCCUCGUUGCUAGAUUACUCCAUAGAUUGAUCUUGGUGAUGCAUAGAAAUUUUUUGAUUUCUGCUACGUUCCCCAAUAGUGGUAUCAGAGCCAUGUCUAUGCAUAGUUUCUAUGCACGAGUAGAACACAAGUUGUUGUGGGAGUUGAUUUUGUUCAGUAUGCUUACCGUCACUAGUACAAUCUUGUUUCGACGGUAUUGUGGGAUGAAGCGGCCCGAACCGACCUUACACGUACACUUACGUGAGAUAGGUUCCACCGACUGACAUGCACUUGUUGCAUAAGGUGGCUAGCGGGUGCCAGUCUCUCCCACUUUAGUCGGAUCGGAUUCGAUGAAAAGGGUCCUUAUGAAGGGUAAAUAGCAAUUGACAUAUCACAUUGUGGUUUUGCAUAGAUAAGAAACGUUAUUGCUAGAAACCCAUAGCAGCCACGUAAAACAUGCAAACAACAAUUAGAGGACGUCUAACUUGUUUUUGCAGGGUAUGCUAUGUGAUGUGAUAUGGCCAAAAGUAUGUGAUGAAUGAUAUAUGUGAUGUAUGAGAUUGAUCAUGUUCUUGUAAUAGGAAUCACGACUUGCAUGUCGAUGAGUAUGACAACCGGCAGGAGCCAUAGGAGUUGUCUUAAUUUAUUGUAUGACCUGCGUGUCAUUGAACAACGCCAUGUAAUUACUUUACUUUAUUGCUAAACCGUUAGCCAUAGUAGUAGAAGUAAUAGUUGGCGAGACAACUUCAUGGAGACACGAUGAUGGAGAUCAUGAUGAUGGAGAUCAUGAUGAUGGAGAUCAUGGUGUCAUGCCGGUGACGAUGAUGAUCAUGGAGCCCCGAAGAUGGAGAUCAAAAGGAGCAAAAUGAUAAUGGGCAUAUCAUGUCACUUUUUGAUUGCAUGUGAUGUUUAUCAAGUUUAUGCAUCUUAUUUGCUUAGAACGACGGUAGUAAAUAAGAUGAUCCCUCAUUAAAAUUUCAAGAAAGUGUUCCCCCUAACUGUGCACCGUUGCGAAAGUUCGUUGUUUCGAAGCACCACAUGAUGAUUGGGUGUGAUAGAUUCUAACGUUCACAUACAACGGGUGUAAGCCAGAUUUACACAUGCGAAACACUUAGGUUGACUUGACGAGCCUAGCAUGUACAGACAUGGCCUCAGAACACAAGAGACUGAAAGGUCGAGCAUGAGUCGUAUGGUAGAUACGAUCAACAUGAAGAUGUUCACCGACGAUGACUAGUCCGUCUCACGUGAUCAUCGGACACGGCCUAGUUGACUCAGAUAAUGUAAUCACUUAGAUGACUAGAGGGAUGUCUAUCUGAGUGGGAGUUCAUAAGAUGAACUCAAUUAUCCUGAACAUAGUCAAAAGGUCUUUGCAAAUUAUGUCGUACUCACGCUUUAGUUCUACUAUUUAGAUAUGUUCCUAGAGAAAAUAUAGUUGAAAGUUGAUAGUAGCAAUUAUGCGGACUGGGUCCAUAAACCGAGGAUUGUCCUCGUUGCUAUGCAAAAAGCUUAUGUCCUUAAUGCACCGCCCGGUGUGCUGAACCUCGAACGACGUCUGUGGAUGUUGCGAACAUUUGACAUACACGUUUUGAUAACUACGUGAUAGUUCAGUAAUAUUAAAUGGUUUACAAUUGAGGCACCAAAGACGAUUUCGAAACGUCGCGGAACAUAUGAGAUGUUUUCGAGGGCUGAAAUUGGGAUUUCAGGCCCGUGCCCACGUCAAGAGGUAUAAGACCUCCGAGGAUUUUCUUAGCCUACAAACUAAGGGAGAAAAGCUCAAUCAUUGAGCUUGUACUCAGAUUGUCUGGGUACAACAAUCACUUGAAUCGAGUGGGAGUUAAUCUUCCAGAUGAGAUAGUGAUGUUUCCCCAAAGUCAUUGCACCAAGCUACUAGAGCUUCGUGAUGAACUAUAACAUAUCAGGGAUAGAUAUGAUGAUCCUUGAGAUAUUCGUGAUGUUUGACACCGCGAAAGUAGAAAUCAAGAAGGAGCAUCAAUUGUUGAUGGUUAGUGAAACCACUAGUUUCAAGAAGGGCAAGGGCAAGAAGGGAUACUUCAUGAAACGGCAAAUUCAGCUGCUGGUCUAGUGAAGAAACCCAAGGUUGAACCCAAACCCGAGACUCAGUGCUUCUGUAAUAAAGGGAACAACCACUGGAGCAGAAUUACCCUAGAUACUUGGUAGAUGAGAAGGCUGGCAAGGUCGAUAGAAGUAUAUUGGAUAUACAUUAUGUUAAUGUGUACUUUACUAGUACUCCUAGUAGCACCAGGGUAUUAGAUACCGGUUCGGCUGCUAAGUGUUAGCAACUCGAAAUAAAAGGCUACAGAAUAAACGGAGACUAGCUAAAGGCGAGGUGACGAUGUGUGUUGGAAGUAAUUCCAAGAUUGAUGUGAUCAAGCAUCGCACGCUCUCUGUACCAUCGAGAUUGGUGUUGAACCUAAAUAAUUGUUAUUUGGUGUUUGUGUUGAGCAUAGACAUGAUUGGAUUAUGUCUAUCGCAAUACGGUUAUUCAUUUAAGGAGGAUAAUGGUUACUCUGUUUAUUUGAAUAAUACCUUCAAUGGUCUUGCACCUAAAAUGAAUGGUUUAUUGAAUCUCGAUCGUAGUAAUACACAUGUUCUUGCCAAAAAGAUAUAAGAUAGUAAUGAUAGUACCACCUACUUGUGGCACUGCCAUGUAGGUCAUAUUGGUAUAAAACGCAUGAAGAAGCUCCAUGUUGAUGGAUCUUUGGACUCACUCGUUUUUCAAAAAUUUGAGACAUGCGAACCAUGUCUAUUGGUGUAUAUGCAUGAAGAAACUCCAUGCAAAUGGACCGUUUGGACUCACUUGAUUUUGAAUCACUUGAGACAUGCAAAUCAUACCACAUGGGCAAGAUGACUGAAAGCCUCGUUUUCAGUAAAAUGGAACAAGAAAGCAACUUGUUGGAAGUAAUACAUUUUGAUGUGUGCAGUCCAAUGAGUGUUGAGGCACACAGUGGAUAUCGUUAUGUUCUUACUUCAUGGAUGAUUUGAGUAGAUACUGAGUAUAUUUACUUGAUGAAACACAAGUCUGAAUUAUUGAAUGGUUCAAGUAAUUUCAGAGUGAAGUUGAAAAUCAUCGUGACAAGAGGAUAAAAUGUCUAUGAUAUGAUCAUAGAGAUGAGUAUCUGAGUUACGAGCUUUGGCACGCAAUUAAGACAUUGUGGAAAUUUUUUCACAAUUAAUACCGCCUGGAACACCAUAGUGUGAUGGUGUGUCCAAACAUCAUAGUUGCACCCUAUUGGAUAUGGUGCGUACCAUGAUGUCUCUUAUCGAAUUACCACUAUCGUUCAUGGGUUAGGCAUUAGAGACAACCGCACUCACUUUAAUAGGGCACCACGUAAUUCCGUUGAGACGACACCGUUUGAACUAUGGUUUGGAGAAACCUAAGUUGUCGUUUCUUAAAAGUUUGGGGUUGCGACGCUUAUGUGAAAAAGUUUUAGGUUGAUAAGCUCGAACCCAAAGCGGAUAAAAUGCAUCUUCAUAGGACACCCAAAACAGUUGGGUAUACCUCUUAAUUCAGAUCCGAAAGCAAUAGGGAUUGUUUCUUGAAUCGGGUCCUUUCUCGAGGAAAAGUUUGUCUCAAAAAUUGAGUGGGAGGAUGGUGGAGACUUGAUGAGGUUAUUGAACCGUCACUUCAACUAGUGUGUAGCAGGGCAAAGGAAGUUGUUCCUGUGGCGCCUACACCAAUUGAAGUAGAAACUUAUGAUAAUGAUCAUGAAGUUUUGGAUCAAGUCACUACCGUACCUCGUAGGGUGAUAAGGAUGCGUACUACUUCAAAGUGGUACAGUAAUCCUGUCUUGAAGGUCAUGUUGCUAGACAACAAUGAACCUACGAGCUAUGGAAAAGCGAUGGUGGGCCCAUAUUCCGACAAAUGGUUAGAAGCAAUUAAAUCCAAGAUAGGAUCCAUGUAUCAGAACAAAGCAUGGACUUUGGUGGACUUGCCCGAUGAUCGGCAAGCCAUUGAGAUAAAUGGAUUUUUAAGAAGAAGACGGACGUGGACGGUAAUGUCACCGUCUAUGAAGCUCAACUUGUGGUGAAGAGUUUUUCACAAGUUCAAGGAGUUGACUACGAUGAGAUUUUCUCAUCCGUAGCGAUGCUUAAGUCCGUCGGAAUCAUGUUAGCAUUAGCUGCAUUUAUAAAAUCUGGCAGAUGGAUGUCAAAACGAGUUUCCUUACCAGUUUUUGUAAGGAAAGAUUGUAUGUGAUACAAUCAGAAAGGUUUUGUCGAUCCUAAGGAUGCUAAAAGGUAUGCUAGCUCCAGCGAUCCUUCCAUGGACUAGAGUAAGCAUCUCGGAGUUGGAAUAUACACUUCGAUAAGAUGAUCAAAGAUUUUGGGUUUAUACAAAGUUUAUGAGAAACUUGUAUUUCCAAAGGAGUGAGUGGGAGCACUAUAGAAUUUCUGAUGAGUAUAUGUUGUUGACAUAUUGUUGAUCAGAAAUGAUGUAGAGUUUCUGGAAAGCAUAUAGGGUUAUUUGAAAAGUGUUUUUCAAGGGAAAACCUGGAUUAAGCUACUUGAACAUUGAGCAUCAAGAUCUAUAAGGAUUGAUCAAAAACCGCUUAAUGGUACUUUCAAAUGAGCAUAUACCUUGACAUGAUCUUGAAGGUGUUCAAGAUGGAUCAGUCAAAGAAGGAGUUCUUGCCUGAGAUGUAAGGUAUGAAGUUAAGACUUAAAGCUCGACCACGGUAGAAAAGAGAGAAAGGACGAAGGUCGUCCCCUAUGCUUUAGACGUAGGCUCUACACUAUGCUAUGUUGUGUACCGCACCUGAUGUGUGCCUUGCUACAUAUCUGGCAAGAGGGUACAAAGGUCAUCAAGGAGUGGAUCACCAGAUAGCGGUCAAAAUUAUCCUUAGAGGAAUAAGGAUAUGUUUCCCGGUUAUGGAGGUGAUAAAGAGUUCAACGUAAAGAGUUGCGUUGAUGCAAGCUUUAACACCUAUCCGAAUGACUCUGAGUAGCAAACCGGGUACGUAUAGUGUAGCGACCAUUUGGAAUAGCUCCAAGUGGAGCGUGGAAGCAGUAUUUACAAUAUGACCUAGAGAUUUGCGAAGUACAUACGGAUCUGAAUGUUGCAGACCCAUUGACUAAAACCUCUCUCACAAGCAAAACAUGAUCAAACCCCAGAACUCAUUGAGUCGUAAUCACAUGAUGAUGUGAACUAGUUUGGUGACACUAGUAAACUCUUUGGAUGUUGGUCACAUGGCGAUGUGACAUGUGAGUGUUAAUCACAUGGCGAUGUGAACUAGAUUAUUGACUCUAGUGCAAGUGGGAGACUGUUGGAAAUAUGCCCUAGAGGCAAUAAUAAGUUAGUUAUUAUUAUUAUAUUUCCUUGUUCAUGAUAAUCGUUUAUUAUCCAUGCUAUAAUUGUAUUGAUAGGAAACUCAGAUACAUGUGUGGGUACAUAGACAACACCAUGUCCCUAGUAAGCCUCUAGUUGACUAGCUCGUUGAUCAAUAGAUGGUUACGGUUUCCUGACCAUGGACAUUGGAUGUCAUUGAUAACGGGAUCACAUCAUUAGGCGAAUGAUGUGAUGGACAAGACCCAGUCCUAAGCCUAGCACAAAGAUCGUGUAGUUCGUAUGCUAAAGCUUUUCUAAUGUCAAGUAUCAUUUCCUUAGACCAUGAGAUUGUGCAACUCCCGGAUGCCGUAGGAAUGCUUUGGGUGUACCAAAUAUCACAACGUAACUGGGUGGCUAUAAAGGUACACUACGGGUAUCUCCAAAAGUGUCUGUUGGGUUGGCACGAAUCAAGACUGGGAUUUGUCACUCCGUGUGACGGAGAGGUAUCUCUGGGCCCACUCGGUAGGACAUCAUCAUAAUGUGCACAAUGUGACCAAGGGGUUGAUCACGGGAUGAUGUGUUACGGAACGAGUAAAGAGACUUGCCGGUAACGAGAUUGAACAAGGUAUCGGGAUACCGAUGAUCGAAUCUCGGGCAAGUACAAUACCGCCAGACAAAGGGAAUUGAAUACGGGAUUGAUUGAAUCCUCAACAUUGUGGUUCAUCCAAUGAGAUCAUCGUGGAACAUGUGGGAGCCAACAUGGGUAUCCAGAUCUCGCUGUUGGUUAUUGGCCGAAGAGUUGUCUCGGUCAUGUCUACAUGUCUCCCGAACCCGUAGGGUCUACACACUUAAGGUUCGAUGAUGCUAGGGUUAUAGGGAAUAGAUGUACGUGGUUAUCAAAUGUUGUUCGGAGUCCCGGAGGUCACGAGGAGUUCCGGAAUGGUCCGGAGGUAAAGAUUUAUAUAUGGGAAGUCCUGUUUUGGUCACUGGAAAAGUUUCCGGUGCUAUCGAUAAUGUACCGGGACCACCGGGAGGGUCCCGGGGGUCCACCAAGUGGGGCCACCGGCCCCACAGGGCAGCAUGGGCCAAGUGUGGGAGGGGACCAGCCCCAGGUGGGCUGGUGCGCCCCCCCCCCACCAAGGCCCAAGGCGCCUAGGGUUUGGGGAGGGGGCGCCUCCACCUUACUUGGGGGGCAAGUUUCCCCCUCUUCCCCCCUUGGCCUCCACCCUAGAUGGGUUUUGGGGCUGCCGCACCCCUUGGGGUGGGAACCCUAGAGGGGGCGCAGCCCCCUCCCUCUCCCCUAUAUAUAUUUGAGGUCUUUGGGGCUGCAAACACAUGAGUUUCUCCUCCCCCUGGCGUAGCCCUACCUCUCUCCCUCCUCCUCUCCCGCGGUGCUUGGCGAAGCCCUGCAGGAUUGCCACGCUCCUCCACCACCACCACGCCGUUGUGCUGCUGCUGGACGGACUCUUCCCCAACCUCUUCCUCUCUCCUUACUGGAUCAAGGCAUGGGAGACGUCACCGGGCUGCAUGUGUGUUGAACACGGAGGUGCCGUCCGUUCGGCACUAGGAUCAUCGGUGAUUUGGAUCACUCCAUCAACCCCGUUCACUUGAACACUUCCGCUUAGCGAUCUACAAGGGUAUGUAGAUGCAGUCUCCUUCCCCUCGUUGCUAGAUUACUCCAUAGAUUGAUCUUGGUGAUGCGUAGAAAUUUUUUGAUUUCUGCUACGUUCCCCAACAAUUCCGUCGCUGGCCGGUGUGGCGCGUCUGCCAGCGCGGAUCCCGGUGCGGAUCUGCUGGACCGCAGCUGGUUCGGCGCCGAUCCUAAGGAGGAUUUGUUCCCCAAAUCUGGACAUAGCCACUAUGGCACUUGGGAGCCAUUUUCCUCAUCAUUUUUUUCGCUGGUUGUUCCUGCAACGUCACAAGAGAACUCGGGUGCACCAUUAGGAGGGUUAGUCGGCAUUGAAUCAUCACAAGUAAUUCCCCCAUGAUCAAGGCCAGUGAGAGAAGAGGGUAGGAGUAGAAUUUCUUUGCGAAGUAAAGCACCGGCGUUGGGAUGAAUAUCAGUGAAAGGAAACUUUGUUUCGUCAAAAACAACAUCACGGGAGAUAUAAACUCGCCCCGUAGACACAUCUAGGCACUUGACACCUUUGUGUUGGCACUAUACCCAAGAAAUACACAUUGCUUUGAUUGAAACAUAAGUUUGCAUUGAUUGUAUGGAUGAAGAUUAGGCCAACAUGCACACCCAAAAACACGAAGAGACGUGUAGUCAGGUUUGGUGUGGAGUAGCCAUUCUACUGGAGUUUCAUUAUUGAUAACGUGACUAGGAAGCAUGUUAAUGAUGUGAACGGCAGUGAGAAAGGCUUCAUCCCAGAAUUUUAAAGGCAUGGAGGCGCCAGCUAAGAGAGCUAGGCCGACCUCAACAAUGUGCCUGUGCUUGUGUUCAGCAGAGCCGUUUUGUGGGUGAGCGUGGGGGCACGACACAUGGUGAGAUAUGCCGAGAGUUUGAAAGAAAGAAUUUAAUUUCUCAUACUCUCCACCCUAGUCUGAUUGGACAGCAAGUAUCUUGCUGUCAAAUUAGCGUUCAAUGAGUGCUUGAAAGUUCUUAAAAACUUGAAAGACAUCAGAUCUUUUCUUAAGAAGAUAAAUCCAGGAAAAUUUAUUGUAGUCAUCAAUGAAACUUACGUAGUACAUAUGUCUACCUACUGAGUUGGGGGCAGGACCCCAAACAUCUGAGAAAAUUAAUUGCAAUGGUUUGGUAGACACACUAGUGGAUAUAGGAUAGGGUAGCUGAUGACUCUUAGCUCGUUGACAGGAAUCACAAAUAGUUUCAAUAUUGCGCUCACCAACAAACGGGAGCUUAUUCUUUCGAAGUAAUUUUUCAACUAAAGAAAAAGAAGCAUGUCCUAGACGAUCAUGCCAUCGUGUGGAUGAAAGCUUGAUAGCACCACAAGCUUGUGUAUUCAGUCUCCUAAGCUCCGGAAUCAACAGGUAGAGUCCACGAACACAUCUACCUCGAUAGAGAAUUCUCUUCAUCACCUGAUCCUUGAUCAAAAAGAAGUAAGGGUGAAACUCAAGGAAGACAUGAUUAUCAAGAGCAAUUCUAUGGACAGAGAGAAGACUUUUGUCGGCAUUAGGAACAUGCAAAAAUUUCCUAAGAUGGAUUUUACGAGAAGGGGUACUAAAACUUGAAUGACCAAUGUGACUGAUCUCCAUACCUUCACCACUAGCCGUGUUUGUAGGAGAUAUGCCCUAGAGGCAAUAGUAAAUGAUAUUAUUUAUCUCCGUGUUCAUAAUUAUGUUUAUGUUCCAUGCUAUAACUGCUAUGGUUCUCGAGUCUGCAAUAACACGAGGCUCAGAGGAAGACUCAUAUGUGCGUGUGGAAUAAUAAACGGUAAGAAGUAUUCUUAGUCUGGCCUCUAAGACUAGCUGAAGUGUUGCAUGAUGGUUCUGUUUUCCUGAUCAUGGGCAUGUCAAUGCCAACAACUUUGAGGGCACAAUGUUAAGAGAACAUUUGUGUUGAAUCGACCCGGAUUGAUGUUAUGCUAUGAGAUUCAUUCGUCACAAGUUAAUGGUACAUAACACAGAGAUGAUUAACGUUUGCAUGAUUCCUUAGACCAUGAUAGUAUCGAGUUUCUUCAUGCUUGCUUCAUGAACUUUGGGGUUUGUUAAACGUCAUCCGUAAAUGGGUGGCUAUUACGGCGGCUUACGGGUUCAUGGAAAAGUAUGUCAAGUAACUUGAUAUCUCAAGAUUGGGAUUUGCUCCUCUGACAAUGGAGAGAUAUUCUCGGGCCCUCUCGGUGUUACGGUAUCCAUCAUCGUCUGGCCAAACACAGUGUGAUUUGAUCACAGGGAUGCCAGAACACGGACACGAGAAAAGAGAACAAAACCAGUAAUGAGGUAAUUAGCAUAGUGGACAAGUUGUUGAUCCAUGGGGAUGCAAGUAAAUCUCACCUCGGGUCUUUGUAACAUAUUGCGAAGCAACAGGAAUAGCAAACGGCAACUGGAGGUUCACUCGUGUAUUCAUUCGUGUGGGUAUAGGGGUUAAUAUGGGUGUCCACGGCUCCGAUGUUGAUCAUUGAUCGAAAAGUGUUCCGGUCAUGUCUAUGCUUCACCGAACCUAUAGGGUCACACGCUUAAGGGUCAUCUAUCUGCUGAAUACUAGACAUGGAGUCUGAGAGAAAUUUGCCGAAAAAGUUUCAGAGACAAUGGAAGAGUUCCGGAGAGAGAAUAGCGAAAUAGUUUCGUAACACCGAAAAGUUGUUUCGUGAUAUACCAUUAAGUCAAAUUGGUUUCCGGACAUGCCUGAUAAUUCUUGGAGGGUGCCAGAAUUAUUCUGGAAACUUAUGGGAAUUUUUGGGGAUAAAAAACGAAAAUGUUUCGGAGCUACCGGUACCGCUUUGGUUGUUUUUCGCAGAUGAAAUUCACUAAUCUGAAAUUGUUUUAGAACAAAUCCAAAAUCAUUUUAGUGGGUACUGUAAUUAUUCUAAGAUCCACAGAAAUAUUUUCGGAUUUAAUGGACGCGAAAAAUUGUCUUCAUGAAUAGUGAAAACGCAUUCUUGUUUGCUUUUCACAGAUGAAAAUCACUAAACAGAAAUUGUUUCGGAACGCGUUGAAAAUUGUUUUAGUGGGUACUGGAAAUGUUUUGAGCCCACAUAAAUAUUUUCAAUUCGAACGGACGCUGAAAAUUGUCCUCAUGAAUAGUGAAAGUGCUUUUUUCUUGGCUUCUUGGAGAAGCCACCUUGAGGGCCUUUUGGUAUUAUCCCCUUGGCUUCUUGGAGAAGCCACCCUUGGGCUUGGCCUAUAAAUAGGGGUGGAGGGGGCUGCCUAAAGAUACACUCUUUCUCACAUACAAGUGCCAUUGCAAUGAUCUGGCUUCUCUCUCCCUCGCAGCGAAAUAGUUUCAUAGAGCCGAAAGGUUGUCUGGGUUCUGGCAGGAACUAGUUCUGGACGGCGAAGCCCUGCCGGAUAGGUGACACCAUAUGUGUGCAAAUCUGUAGAGAGGUCAUAGUUUCGAUCUUAGUGCCCGAGAGGCUGUUCCAGAGUGCCUCCCGAAGGGCUGUCCAAGUGACGGUCCGAGUUCUGUGGGUCCUCCCGAAGGGCUGUCCGCGACACCGUCCGGGGGACUGUUCGACUGCCUCCCGGAGGGCUGUCCGAGGGGCGGAUGAGGGAGUACAUCCUCGCGGUUGGGAGGUUGUAAAUCCUAGCUGCGGGGAUCUGCACCGACGAUUGUCAUCAACUCUACUUCCGUUGCGCUAUGAGUCGGUAACAAAAAUGAUCAAACCUUGUAUGCAGUCUCCAUAGUGGUCCUGGGCUGGUGCGUAGGUCAGAAUUUUUUUGUUUUCUGUCGUGUUCCCCUACAGUGGCAUCAUGAGCCGUGCUAUGCGUAGAUGCAGGUUGCGAUCUAUAAUACAUGGAGAUGUAUGGGUGUUGCACAAUAAUAAUUAGGUAGUAGUUCUAUUAUUGAAAAUUAUUUGUGUGGGUAGAAGAUGAAAUCUGUUACCCGAUAUUGUUGUUGCUUCCCUUAAAUUUGUGUAGUCCUGAUCUUGACAGCAUUGUGGAAUCUGACAAAGUUCUGGCAAUCCGCGAGCCUUUCAUGCUGCUCCUGAGCAUGCUGAUUGACAGAUCAACGAAGUGCUAACAGUUCUUUGGGUUCCACUUUAGUCAAAGAAAGAUGGAUGUUUUGCAGACUAAAGGGUAAUGCAGAUAUGAUCUGCACGGGGGUCAUGCGUAUGACGAAGUUCAGUGUGGGGCUCGAGAUUUCAUUAUCUCGUGUUUCAUACACCCCGAUAAGUUAAUCUAGCGCUUGAAUUAUCAUACUUGAUGAUGGAUGUUGGUAACUUCGGUUUGUUUCGAAACCUUAGAAGCCACGUAAAACAAGUUUUUGCAUGAACCGAUUAGAGACGUCUAACUUGGUUUUGCAGGAGGGUUUGCAUGUGCAUAUGAUGUGGUAUAGCAGUGCUCGUAAUAAUUUGAUUAUGUAUGAGAUGUCUAUAUGAUGUAAAUUGAUUAACAUGACAUGCGUGUCAUGAUUUGGCAUGAUGGUUGGAGCCAUAUGAUUGCACUUUAAAUGACCUGCAUAUCAACCGUGUGUAAUGCAUUAUUUUAUUAGCUAUAGAGAUAACAAUAUUAUCUGGCACAUCGACAAGGUGGUGGCAAUCUUCGCGAAGAUGAACACCGACGCGAACGCCGAAAGACGAAGAAAUACAAGACUUCUCCGUCAUAAAGGGCUAUACCAUAUCAUGCUAAUUAUGAAUUGCCUGAAAUGCUUAUCCCUUAUGAUGCACCCUUCUUGAUUGCGUGGUAGUCGCUUUUAUUAGGGUGAUCUCUCACAAAAAUAUCAAGUAGUUAGUGUUCUCCCAAGUGUAGCACUGUCACGGCACCUAACUUUUCGGGGUAUCGCAGGAUCUCCCUGGGUACGAACGAUUAGGGAAGUGUGAGGCAGGUGAGUUGAGACCUCGCAGCAAGAUCACUUGGUUGUCUUGACAUUCUGGAAGGAUCUCCCUGAGCUCGGAACACGCCCAUCGAAAGAUGAACAAGAGUCACAUAGAGAUGUGAUCGGCAAGUUUGCCUACCGAUUGAAUUUCGUGCCAUCAGUGUUCAUCUCGUUCAAUGGCUUUGAAUGGAUAUGCGGGUCUUGUGUCACUCAUAAUCAAUUUUGAGAGAUAUUGAUUUGAGUGGGAGCGCACUGUUGAAUUAACAUGUUUAAUUCUCAGUGCAAUUAAUUAUGAACACUGUCUAAGUGUUUCUUGCAAAAUAGUUGUAGAAUAAUGGCUCGCUUUUUCACCUUCCCUGUUAAAAUUGAAUAGCUGUUAAAUAUCUGGUUAAAACUUUACGAUUGGUAACGUAAUGUGAGGAUUGUCCUCAAAAGUGCCGAGAAGGACUUUGUCCUAUCGCAUGCUUUCCGUAUCCUCCCGUUAAUGCUAUGGAUCAUGUGACUCUCGUCCUUCAAUCCAAAAGCUAGAAUUCUGUUUCGGUCAAGUGGAAUAUGUUUGCUUCCAUGAAACCCAAACUUUGAAAGUUGGGAUAGUUAUAUGAUAUUCAUGGAACUGAAAAUUAUUUUCAGAUACAAACAAAGCAAUGUUUGUUUGCAAGUAUUAGUAAAAGUGUUUAACAUGCAUUUGACUGUUGGGAAAGGGAUCCAGAAGAACGCCUGUCAUAUAAUAAAAGGUGAAUAAAACAACAACUUAAAGAGAAAGGAAGUGUCCAAAGGGUGUUAGUAUGACUUACACGCCUAGGAAGUCCGGGGCUAACGCCACUCUUAAGUUAGGUGCUUCUUUUGCGAGUAGGAGAAAUACUAAAAGUUAAACUGUUAGAAGUAUAAAGGCAGAAAGAAAGAUGACUGGAAUAUCCAGCUCAUGUAUGAAUGUCAUACAAGUUUUUGAUGUAUAGUAGUCUGGUCAAAGAUAUAGUUCUUGGGAAUUAUGGUUAAACAUGUUAAUCACUAAUUCUUGGGUAUUGUGAGUUAAUCACAAAGAUACCCGCUCGAUUGCAUUCUCUUGCGAAUCAAGGUAAGAGCUACUAUGGCCUGAAAGACUAGCCAGAAAUGAGGUUAUGGUAUACACAGGGAACAUGGUAAAUGUUACUAUACCUUCCAUCGGUGUAUUGUUGUCUGUAUUUAUUUUCAUAAUUCAUUUAGAGUUUUACAAACUCUAGCCCAUUGCAUAAGGUAUCUUGCAAGAAGGUUGUUCAUAAGAGAACUUUUUAUGUUCGAUGUUAUGAAUAACACAAGGGCCAUACUUUCAUUAUGAAUGAGAUGUAUGUUAUGAAUAUUGAUAAUAAUACAAUACCUCUAGGUUUACUUUCAUAAUUCAUUUUAGAGUUUCAUACACUCUAGCCCAUUGCACAAUGUUUGUUGCAAAAGAGUUAUUCAUAAAAACAACAAUUGUUGGUAAGUAUUAUGAAUAACAUGAAGGGCCAUGCUUCCAUCCAAGAUGGGAUGUAUGUUAUGAAUAUUGAUGGUAAUAUGAUACAUCCAUAACACUGACGCUAAAUGUCGCAAGACUAAAAGAAUACUACACAAGUGUGGCACUACAUUUGGUCACAUUGGAGAAACCCGCAUGGAAAAUUCCAUUAUGAUGGAUUUUGAAGUCUUUUUGAUUUUGAAUCAUCUGACACUUGCAACUUUCCUCCGAAAAGUGAAGUGACUGAAAUACCGUUCACAGGACAUAAGGAACGAGCAACAAACUUAUUGGUGAUCAUACAUUUUGAUGUGUGUAGUUCAAUAAAUGUUGUUGCAAGUAGUGGACUUAUAUAUCUUCAGAAAUGACUCAAGUAGAUAUAUGGAUAUUUGCUUGAUGAGACGUAAGUCUGGAUCUUUUGAAAUCAUUCGAAAGGUUUUCAAAAAUGAAGUACAAGUUAUUGUAACAAGGAAAUUAUGUUUCUACAAUUUGAUUGCGGAAAGGAAUAUCUGAGUUACAAGUUUAGCGAAUGUCUGAUGAGUUGUGAAAAGAGUUUCAUAACUUACAACUCCAGGAACACCACUAUGAGUGGAAUGUCUGUGAAGAUGCAAUCAAAACAUUUAUGACAUGGUAAGAUCAAAGAUGACAUAAAUAAAUUUGCCAUUAUCACUUUUAAAGAGUAAUGCUUUAGAGACUGCGGCUUUUACACUGAAAAGAGCUCCAUCAGGUCUGUUGAAAUGACGACAUGGUAUGGUACGCGCAACCAUGUUAUAUCUUUUCUUAACAUUUGGAAUAUGGGGCUUGUGUAAAAGGUUACAAACCUAUUCCAAAUCAGACAAGUGCUACUUUGUAAGUUAUCCCAAGUCAUUGGGUAUUCCCCCACCACUAUACCGAGGCAAAGGAUUUUUGCCACAAAACGAUAUGCUUUUAAAGAGAAUAGUUGUUGCAAAAGGGUAAGUGGGAGGACAGUGCAACUCGACGAGAUAACAAGUAUCUUCGUCAUCAGGUCAAAGGAAAGGAACCUAGGAAGUAAUUCUAGAGUUUCCUACUGCGACUGAUACGGAAGCCUCUACAUUAGAUGUAUGGGCUUCGGUCGAACUUGUAGCUGAAUAACAUAGGCAAAGCUCGUGCAAACCUCUCAGGUGCACAAACGAGAUAUUGUUGUUAGACAAUAGUAUAUGUAUGAUACACAAGGAAGUGUUGAUGGGCCCUGACUCCGGAAUUGGCUGAAUGCCAAUAUAAUCCGAGAUAGUUUCCAUAAAUGAUUCAAGAUUUAAAUCUUGAUAAACCCUUUGAAAGACUUGGAGUCUAGCGGAUUGUAAUGGGACUAUAAACUGAUAUGGAUAAAAAUGUUUUAUCCAUUAAGCUUGACUUGUUGCAAUAACAAGUUCAAGGAGUUGACUACAAUGAGAUUGUCUCACCGUAGCAAUGCUUAAAGUCGGUUUGGGUUAAACUAGCAAUUAAUACAUAUUUCAAACAUGAGAUAUGCAACAUGGAUGACAAAAUAAUUUCCAUGAAAUGGAAAUACAACCUAGGACUUGUAUGUGAUACAGUACAAAGUAUUUUGUCAGUCCAGAGUAUGCUAGUAAGUAUGCAAACUUCAGAGUUCCAGCAAUGGACAGAAGAGAGCAAAAUGGAGUUGGAAUCUUCGUUUUUGAUGGAAUGGUCAAAGGGGUUUGACUUCAUCAAUGAGUAACGAAGAUGCUUGUGGUUUCAAGAAAGUAAGUGGGAGCGUAAUAAUAUUUCUAAAAACCUUGUGUGCUUGACACAUUGUUAAUUGGAAAUAAAUUUCUUGACACGAAUUAGGACUUCAUUUGAAAAUAGUUUUUUGAUGAAGUACUUAGGCUAAAUAGCCUCAAUAUUAGGCAUAAUGAUCUAUGGAGAUAGAUUUACCUAAUAGGGCUAAGCAAUAAAUACAUAUUGACAAGAUGAUAAAACCGUUUAGCACUAAGAACGACAAGGAGUGAUUCUUGCCGAAGUCACAUGGAAAGAGUUUUUGCAAGAAUCGGUGUCCCAAAACACUGAUGAGCAAAAUACAUGAUGCAGAUUCCACACACUUUUGUGUUUGGAUUAAUCAUGUAUUCCAUGGUAUGUAAAACAACUAGAUAUGUUCGAUACUCCCAAGGUGUUGCGAGUAUAGAUACUAAAGUGAUCAAAGUACUGAUCAUGGGACAACAGUGAAAGAUGUCAUUGAGUACUAGAGUAAGUACUGAUGAUAUGUUUUCUUACAAGCGGAGAUCAUGAAGAGUUCGUUGUAAAAUGUUACAUCGAUACAGUCUUCAUCUUUUCUCCAUGCGAUUUUCGAUUUAAGUUAAGGGUUUUGUGUAAUACACAAUAUGGUGGCACGGUAGUUGGAAAUUGUUCCGAACAGGAUACUGUGGCGAAUUCUAUAACAAAUGACUAAGUAUGUUGACGCUUUAGAAGCGACAAACAAGAUGUUGAAUCAUAUAGUUCAUUCAUGAACUUAGUAUGGUUCCAAGAAGGCUUUGGUCAAUGGGAAACUAUUGCAGAUAGUUGCUCCAUAGCUCAGUCUGAGGAAUCAGGUUUCGACCAAUGAUUCACAUAUAUACAAAGCCAAGUCCGCACAAAAUAUGAAUUUUGUGAAAGCGUGAAAAUGCGAGGAUAUGCAGAGAUACACAAGGAGCUGAAGUUUCCAGAUCCGAUGGACAUCAGGCUAUACCACAUGCAUUUUUUACACCAAUAUGCCAUAGGUGUAAAGUGCAUUAGCAUUAACUAGAUUAUUGACUCUAGUGCAAGUGGGAGUCUGUAGGAGAUAUGCCCUAGAGGCAAUAAUAAAUGAUAUUAUUUAUCUCCAUGUUCAUAAUUAUGUUUAUGUUCCAUGCUAUAACUGCUAUGGUUCUCGAGUCUGCAAUAACGCGAGGCUCGAAGGAAGACUCAUAUGCGCGUGUGGAAUAAUAAACGGUAAGAAGUAUUCUUAGUUUGGCCUCUAAGACUAGCUCAAGUGUUGCAUGAUGGUUCUAUUUUCCUGAUCAUGGGCAUGUCAAUGCCAGCAACUUUGAGGGCACAAUGUUAAGAGAACAUUUGUGUUGAAUCGACCCGGAUUGAUGUUAUGCUAUGAGAUUCAUUCGUCACAAGUUAAUGGUACAUAACACAGAGAUGGUUAACGUUUGCAUGAUUCCUUAGACCAUGAGAGUAUCGAGUUUCUUCAUGCUUGCUUCAUGAACUUUGGGGUUUGUUAAACGUCAUCCGUAAAUGGGUGGCUAUUAUGGCGGCUUACGGGUUCAUGGAAAAGUAUGUCAAGUAACUUGAUAGCUCAAGAUUGGGAUUUGCUCCUCCGACAAUGGAGAGAUAUUCUCGGGCCCUCUCGGUGUUACGGUAUCCAUCAUCGUCUGGCCAGACACAGUGUGAUUUGAUCACAGGGAUGCCGGAACACGGAAACAAGAAAAGAGAACAAAACCAGUAACAAGGUAACUAGCAUAGUGGACAAGUUGUUGAUCCACGGGGAUGCAAGUAAAUCUCACCUCGGGUCUUUGUAACAUAUCGCGAAGCAAGAGGAAUAGCACACGACAAUUGGAGGUUCACUCGAAUAUUCAUUCGUGUGGGUAUAGGGGUCAAUAUGGGUGUCCACGGCUCCGAUGUUGAUCAUUGAUCGAAAAGUGUUCCGGUCAUGUCUAUGCUUCACCGAACCUAUAGGGUCACACGCUUAAGGGUCAUCUAUCUGCUAAAUACUAGACAUGGAGUCUGAGAGAAAUUUGCCGAAAAAGUUUCGGAGACAAUGGAAGAGUUCCGGAGAGAGAAUAGAGAAAUAGUUUCGUAACACCGAAAAGUUGUUUCGUGAUAUACCAUUAAGUCAAAUUGGUUUCGGGACAUGCCUGAUAAUUCUUGCAGGGUGCCAGAAUUAUUCUGGAAACUUCUGGGAAUUUUUGGGGAUAAAAACCAAAAAUGUUUCGGAGCUGCCGGUACCGCUUUGGUUGUUUUUCGCAGAUGAAAUUCACUAAUCUGAAAUUGUUUCAGAACAAAUCCAAAAUCAUUUUAGUGGGUACUGGAAUUAUUCUAAGAUCCACCGAAAUAUUUUCGGAUUUAAUGGACGCGAAAAAUUGUCUUCAUGAAUAGUGAAAACGCAUUCUUGUUUGCUUUUCGCAGAUGAAAAUCACUAAACCAGAAUUAUUUCGGAACGCGUUGAAAAUUGUUUUAGUGGGUACUGGAAAUGUUCUGAGCCCACAUAAAUAUUUUCAAUUCGAACGGACGCUGAAAAUUGUCGUCAUAAAUAGAGUGCUUUUUGCUUGGCUUCUUGGAGAAGCCACCUUGAGGGCCUUUUGGUAUUAUCCCCUUGGCUUCUUGGAGAAGCCACCCUUGGGCUUGGCCUAUAAAUAGGGGUGGAGGGGGCUGGCUAAAGAGACACUCUUUCUCACAUACAAGUGCCAUUGCAAUGAUCUGGCUUCUCUCUCCCUCGCAGCAAAAUAGUUUCGUAGAGCCGAAAGACUGUCUGGGUUCCGACAGGAACUAGUUCUGGACGGCGAAGCCCUGCCGGAUAGGUGACACCGUAUGUGUGCAACUCUAUAGAGAGGUCGUAGUUUCGAUCUUAGUGCUCGAGGGGCUGUUCGAGAGUGCCUCCCAAAGGGCUGUCCAAGUGACGGUCCGAGUUCUAUGGGUCCUCCCGAAGGGCUGUCCGCGACACCGUCCAGGGGGCUGUUCGACUACCUCCCGGAGGGCUGUCUGAGGGGCAGAUGAGGGAGUACAUCCUCGCGGUUGGGAGGUUGUAAAUCCUAGCUGCGGGGAUCUGCACCGACGAUCGUCAUCGACUCUACUUCCGUUGUGCUACGAGUCGGUAACGAAAAUGAUCAAACCUUGUAUGCAGUCUCCAUAGUGGUCCUGGGCUGGUGCGUAGGUCGGAAAUUUUUUGUUUUCUGUCGCGUUCCGUUACAGUGUGGAUUUGGUCCUUGCCGUGGUAUUUCUCCUUCAUGGUCACCUUCUCGAGCUCGUUGGUGAUGUGGUUGGUGGCACCGCUGUCGAUGUACCAGUUGGUGUCGAUUCCAUAGGAGCUAUCUGCAGCCACCGCCAUGUUGUCAUCAUGUUGAGAGGAAUCGUCGUCCUCUUCGUAGCGGUACCAACAAUCUUUUGCUGUGUGCCCCAACUUGCCACAUAUCUGGCACCGUGGGGCAUCAGGACGUGCGCGAGGAUUGCCGCCCCCGCGGCGAGAUCUGUUGCUGGUGGGAGCACGCCCGCUGUUGCGGGAGUUGGAGCCGCCGUCGUUGCCUCCUCCAUUGGACCUCCCCAGGCCACGGGAGAAGCCACCACGUCGAGAGGAGCCACCACGUCCACGAGAGGCCGAGUUCACGGAGGACUUGAAGCCGCCACCGCCGUUCCCGUGGAAGUGCACCAUCCGCUGAUCGAAGUUGGAGAGCAUGGCGAAGAGCUCGACGAUGGUGACGGGGUGACGCGAGCAUCCAGGGCAGAGAUCAGCGGCUGGUAGUCGGCGUUGAGCCCGUGGAUGAUGCAGAAUAUGAGCUCAUCGUCGAGGAUCGCCUUGCCCGCCGCGGCCAACUCGUCGGCAUAGCCGCGCAUGGUGGCAAAGUAGGAGGCGACGGAGUGGUUUCCCUUCUACGCAUUGAUUAGAGAAGUACGGAUGUUGUUGAUGCGACUCACCGAUUGCGAUGAAUACAUGCCAGCGAGCGUCGUCCAGACGCGGUGGUGACCGUGGUCACCGUGAGGAGCACCUCCUUCGUGAGGUUGCUCAACAGGUAGCCAAGGACCUGCUGGUCCUCCCGGACCCAGAUUGGGUGGAGAGGGUUGGGCUUUGAAGUCGCCUUGCCUUCUUUGUCGGUGGUGACGAGGAGCUUUGCCGGCUCCGGCUGGGUGCCGUCGACGUAGCCGAAGACCACGGCGCCACGCAGUUGGGGUAUGAUCUGCGUGCGCCAUAGCACGUAGUUCGUGCGGGAUAGCUUCUCGGCGACCUGCCCAUUGAGACUAGGCUGGAAGGAAGCGCCGGAGGAGGAAGACAUGGUGUGGCUUCGACACAGGUGGUUCUGGUAGCUAGAUGAGUUGAAGAAGAGAGGCUCUGAUUACCAUGUGCGAGCGGUAAACGUCUUGCCCUUGUCGAGGGCGACGUGUUCACAUUAUAUAGCAGGGGAGCCAAAACCCUAGAUGGCUUACAUGCGGUUUGAGAGAGAGAUAAGAGAGAAUCUAGGAUACAUCUUGUGAGAGAAGAAAGGAGGAGAUGGUUACAAGAAUAUCUCAAUACAAACUACCUCCUAGCCUUAUCUCUAAUAAGCAUAGCCUUAUCUCUAAUAUUCUGCAUAUGAUGGUGUUUAACACACAUAACUAUCUAGCCAAACGUGAUUUACUUAACGGAAAGCUCUAAUUAUUACUAAAUGCAUUGCUUCCACCAAAUGUUGUAACACCUUCCCCCAAAUGCACACGGUCAUCUCUUUUUGUUUUUCAAAAUGCAUUGCUUAGGCCGAAGUGUUUGGCGGAAGGUGCAUGCAUUGGCGGAAUAUCGCUUGGAGCACUGAUGAAGAUCUUAUCGAUGUACUACUUACAAUGAGCUUGUACCGAUGUAACUCCUUAUAACAACCUAUGCCUCCGCCAUGAUCGCCCCCCUCCAUGCCAAGAGAGGCAUAGAGAUGGCCAGUGCACAUUACCCGCAUAGUGACGAUGACGAUUCUGGUGUACAGUUGAAAAGGGCAACUCCAGCGCGGAUAUCCAAACAGAAGACACUAGAUGUCCGUGAGAACAUCCCAACAUGUUGGCAGACAAAGGGCAGGGCGCCAGUCAUCCAACUGUAGACACCAAAUGUCCAGGCUAUUUAAAAUGAACCGAACACAAACACAAACAUAAUACAUGCUAAAUGGACGGAAUUUGUUAUGUUUUGAUAUAUUUACAACCAAACAACAAAAUUUAGCAAGUUCAAACUAAUUAUAAUCAAAGCUAAACUAGGCAAGGUACCAGAAGGAGAACUUGUAGGGACCUCCGUCAUCGUCCGCGCCAUCGCUCGAGCCAUUGUUCGUGUCGUCGCCACCGUUGCCGUGCUAGCGGCAGAAGACCCGCCAGGUGUCAUGACAUUCCUGCGCAUCCAUCACGGCGUGCUCACGCUUGAGAUGCUUCACCGCAUCCUUCGUGUUGAAGGCUCGGAUGAGUGCAACGCGCUUGGACUCCGCCAACCCCACUUUGUGGAGCUUGCCCUUGAGGUCGACUGGGGUCUUGGAAUGGUUGACGGCACAAGCCUCUGUGAGCACCCCAGGCGGGGGCAACCUGGCUUUCUGCAACCGCGGCCCUGCAUUUUGUAUUGCACCGCCUUCUUCUUGACGCUGUUCUUGGAUGACGAGGCGCCAACACCUUUGAGGUAGUAGUGGAAGCAUGACUGGUGUGAAGGGGCGGGGACACGAGCUCCUCCUUCUUGACAACAGGGAGCACCGGGCACCACUAGUUGCCUAGCUGGUGAUGCGGCGGGGAGGGGGGCUUCUCCUUCCAUGACAUUCGAUCUAGACGCCACAGUUGCGCAGAGGGCACAACGGCUCGGCCUUCACGCGAUGUCCGAUUUGGCCGCCGGGGUGGCAAGGAGGGGAGGGUAGCGCCUGCCCCCGGUCGAGCAACAACCGAUGCAACGCCUCCUCCAUCUACAUCGUGAAGUCGUCAUCCGUCUGCGCGGCUGCAACGAGUAGGGGCGGCUUUUGCUCCUCCUCCUUGUCUGAGAAGAUUUGUGCCGUGGACGACCGGAGGUGGUCGGUGCUGUGGACGACAAGGCGCCUCCCAACGACCGCGGGCGACGGUGCAAACUAGACCCAAAGCUCCCCCGUCCCACGGAGCCGGUCCCCUGGCGCGGUGGCGGCUGGUCGAAGCGGUAGGUCCCCAGCAGCCACCACACCUUGGUCUUCUCUGUGCCAGACUUCUUGCCCAUCGCGGCAGAGGUGUUUUCGACAUACGGCGACUUUGGGAGAGGAGUGAAUAAGUGUAGGGUUUGUGUCCGAGGUUGACCGACUUUAAUAGUGGGGGCAGGCCCGACGAAGUUUCAAUGUAGCGUAGUAGGCUUCUCGGUCACCGUGCUUGGUGUGAAUGCCGGUAGAGGGAACAACCAGUCAGCUGGUAUGAAUGCAGGUAGGUCGUCGUCCGGUCAUGUUCGCUCUAACCGGAUUGAAUACAACACAAAGAGAGGGUUCUAGAGUGAGUGGACACGGCAGGGGCAGGGGUUUUGGGUGGGUGGGUGGUGUCAAUGUACGACGUGACUGACGUUUGAACUCCCAAAUCUCCCCUAUUUUGAUACCGUUUUAAGAGAUUUUUUAUGACCGGACCAGUCUGAACAUUUUUUAUAGUCACGUUGAAUGGCUAAAAAUGUCCGGACCGUGUGGUCUAGACAUUUGCAACCAAUUAGGUUGUUGUGCAAAGCAUCCUAGUCUCGCCACAUAUGGCUCGAUGGAAGUGAAUAUGUGGAGGGUCCAGAAAUGCGGGUGAGCAAAACAUUGGUUCUAAGGGCAAAACAUAGUUUUUUCUAAUGAAACUUUAUAAGCAGGUAAUACUAAAAGACACCAUUUUUUUAUUCGCAAAAAAGACACUAUUUUUUAUUAAAAAAUAAAUCAGUUUGUUUAUUUAUCUUUACAAUCUUAUUACACUGUUCAAAACGAGAGCACACGAAGGAACGAGCACGAGCUCAUAUUUCUCCAAUGCACCAUUUUUUUUGAACGUCAAUAACGGCCGAACGUUCGUUCUCGAGAACCAUGUGCCCGAACGUAUUGUUCGGCGGGCGACUAGGUACCGACCGAACGAUUUCGUUCCAUCUGGAGAACCUCCCAGCCCGAACUACCCGUUCGAGAAAACUUAGCGCUAAGGAAAAGGAAAUAUGGGCCAAAAAUAGGCCCAUAUGUGAGCACAAGUAGAAGGACUUUAUAAAGGCUGAAAAGGCAUAAAAAGGACUAGAAGGAAAAAUUGCCCACGUGACUAUAUUACAGCCAUUUACUAAAAUAAUACCCCUCAAUUUGUUUUUACUAAAACAUGAUACUUAUAUAACACAUGAAAAUUCCAAAAAAUUGCGAUUCGAGUUUGAUCAAACUAUUUCAUAAUUUGGCAUGAUAUUAUUAUUUUUACAAUGGCAAGGUUUACAACAAAAAUGAUUUCUAAUACAGCAUGGCAAAAAAUAAAAAAUUGCCAAGGAAAAAGUUAUGUUCAGAAAUAUGACAUGGCAAAAAUUACCAGGAAAAAAAUAGAAUGCACAAAAUACAAACAACCAAAUGGAACAUAUGAAUUUUAGUUGCCAUGUUCAUAUGUAGAGUGAAUAGUUGAAGCAGAAAAGUAUGGACAAGAAACUUGCCAUGACAGAUUCAUAAAAAAAAUUGCCAUAUUUAAUAUGGAAAAAAUGUCAUGUACGAAGAAGUAAAACAACAAAAUUGCAAUGGCAAAUUCAUAUCAAAACUUGCCAUGCUAAUUUAAUUGAAUUUGCCAUGUUCUAUAUGAGAAAAAUGCCAUCUUUGUAAAAGCAAACACAAAUUAUGAAUAAAAAUGAUUGCCAUGGCGAAUUCAUAUCGAAAAUAGCCAUGGUAUUUCAAUUAAAUUUGCCAUGUUCUAUAUGAGAAAAAUGUCAUGUAUGUAAAGUAAGACUCAACUUAUGAACAAAAUUGCCAUGGAAAAUUCAUGUCAAAAACUUGCCAUGCUAUUUUAAUUAAAUUUGCCAUGUUCUGUUUGAGAAAAAUGCCAUCUUUUUUUACCAUGAAAAAUGCCAUAUUUGUAAAGCAAACACAAAUUAUGUACAAAAAAUUGCCAUGGCAAAUUCAUAUCAAAAAUUGCCAUGGUAAUUAAUAAAAAAUUGCCAUGUUUUGUAUUGGAAAAAAUGUCAUGUACGAAAAAGUAAAACUCAACUUAUGAACAAAAUUGCCAUGGCAAAUUCAUAUCAAAACUUGCCAUGCUAUUUUAAUUAAAUUUUUUAUGUUCUAUAUGAGAAAAAUGCCAUAUUUGUAAAGCAAACACAAAUUAUGAACAAAAAAUUGUCAUGGCAAAUUCAUAUCAAAAAUGGCCAUGGUAUUUUAAUUAAAUUUGCCAUGUUCUAUAUGAGAAAAAAAUCAUGUAUGUAAAGCAAACACAAGUUAUGAACAAAAUUUGCCAUGAAAGAUGUAUGCUAUAAAUUAGCAUGGUCUUUUAAUUAUAGAUGUCAUGCUUUUUGUUAGGAAAAAUGCCAUGUAUGUGUUCAUGUAGAGAAAAAUGUCAUGACCCAAUAACUAUAUUUGCCAUGGGGAGGGGUCGCCCCGAACGAAUUGUUCGCGCUGGACAGGGGAACGACCGAACGAUUUUGUUCGGCCCAGGAGCUCUCUCAGCCCGAACACUUCUAGAAACUCAUCACUUAUCACGAAUGCAACAAAAAGCCUAACAAAGACGCCAGUGUGGGCCUGUUGCACGAGAGACAUAAGAAAAACAGGCCCAUUUAGAUACUGAAAUACGAAAAAAAAACCCAGAAAAACUUUCUAAGAAAAGUUACCAUGUUUUGGCACAUACUAAAGUUUGCCAUGGCAAGUUGGAAAGUUUGCCAUGUUUUUGAAGAUUUUAAAAUGCCAUGGUAUAUUAUUCAUAUUUUUGAACAUCUAGAAAAAUGUUGCCAUGUUUUCUAACAUCGUAAGUUGCCAUGGCAAAGUUUGCCAUGUUUUUCAACAACUAUAACUUUGCCAUGACAAGUUUACAUGUUUUUCAACAUGUUAAUUAAAGAAGUUUGCCAUGGCAUAAAAUGGAGUUAAAUUUGCCAUGUCAAAAAGGGAGUAAAAAUUUGCCGUGGCAAAAAUAGUUUAAUUUUUUGCCAUGGCAAAAAGUAGUAGUUUUUUCCAUGGAAAUAAAUUAAAAAUUGACAUGGCCACACAAGUAUAUUUAAAAUGCUACAUAGUAAAAUUUGGCAUGUUCUAUAAAUUUAAAUUUGCCAUAAUAUUUGAAUUAAGAUUGACAUGCUCUCUACAAUAAAUUUGCAAUGGCAACUUUAACUAAAAAUUGCCAUGGCGACUUAACCAAAAAAUUUCCUUGUGAAAAUAAACGUAUUUUUGACAUGACAAAAAUGGAGUUAAACUUGCCAUGCCAAAAAUGGAGUAAAAAUUUGCCAUGGCAAAAAUGGGUUGAUUUUUGCCAUGGCAAAAGGGGAGUAGUUUUGUCAUGGAAAUAAAUUGAAAAAUGCCAUGGCUAUACAAAUAUAUGUACUAUGCUACAUAGUUAAAAUUGCCUUGUUCUGAAAAAUGUAAAUUUGCCAUCAUAUUUAAAACAAAAACUUGCCAUGCUCUUUACAAUAAAUUUGCCAAGGUAUCUUAAACUAAAAGUUGCCAUGGCAACUUAAACUAAAAUUUGUCGUGUGAAUAAAAGUAUUUUUGAUAAACUUGUGAAUUUCUGAAAUUUGCCAUAUGAUUUUUCUAAUAAUUGCCACAACAUUUUAGUAAAAAAAUGCCAUGCUUUUGUAGCGUUUAUCUCUUACUUAUGUCGUGUAACAAACAAACUAACAAGUUCAGAAGUUUGCACGGAAAAAAAUGAUGCAUCUAACAAAAACACGGAGACGCACAUGCCACAAACACAACUUGUUUGGUCAGUUUUGUUUGCUGCUAAAAGAAGCAACAUAUUCUGAUUGCAAAUUAUGACAACAUGGCAACUAGUUUCAGCCAGAAAAUGUAGUAUCAAGGAGAGUGGGGAGUGCUGAUGCAUCACGGAAAACAUUGAGAGGGAAAAAAUGCUAGAGGGUGAGAAUCAGGGGUUACUGAUGAAUUGUCUCUGGCUGGCGCCCAUGACACUGCUAAAAAUCGGUGUCCUGCAGAGCGAGGUAGGCAAAAUCGAUGGCGAGCCCAGCCCUCUCCCUGGCUUGCACCACCCCGCAGCCCUGCCUAGCCAGCAAGGUCGCAACCAUUUCGAGCUCGAUGCGCUGCGACUUGAGCAAGCGGGAGGGGGAGGGGGCAUCCCGUCCUCGACGCGGCCGACAACGCGCUCGCCGCCGCCGCCUGCGUCGGCUCUCGCCGGACAAGCGACAACCUCGCCUCCUGCGCGCGCUUCUCCUGAAUCGAGGUGCGCCUCCGCGCCCUGCCGUCGACGCCGGCGCCUCCUCAGUGCGGUGCUCUUCUCCCCGGCCACGAUCCGGCCCUGGCCACCACGACCACUCCUGCUGCUCACAAAUAGUUGCGCCCCCACCACCACCUCCCCGCGGUACGGACGCGCCACCACCUGCCAACCAGAGUUGACCAGGCGGAGUCCCGACGAUGUGGCCGCCGAUGUUGCGGCACGGCAGCAAACGCGCGCGAUGGCGAGGAGACGAGGAUAGGAUACGGCGGCGCCGACGAGCUUGGGACGGCGGUGCCGCGAUGGGGAGCUGGGGGCAUGAAGCGGAUGGGAGACGGUGGGAUGGGAAUGGAGAGCGAUGGGACAGAGAAGGGGAUGAGUGGUGCGAGCAUCUAGUUCGUUCGGGACGAUUUCUGUUUUCUCCUAAUGAUAUCGAUCGCUGACGUGGCUCUGGUCCCCUGCUUUAAGAUGCGUAAUCAAAUCCAGGAGUGGAAAGGAC
RNAcentral lists this long non-coding RNA (30803 nucleotides) under Triticum aestivum (bread wheat). RNAcentral's name for it is "long non-coding RNA (TAES_LNC008010)". Lineage: Eukaryota; Viridiplantae; Streptophyta; Magnoliopsida; Poales; Poaceae. The record is from RNAcentral.